RNAcentral lists this ribosomal RNA (482 nucleotides) under uncultured bacterium. RNAcentral describes it as "partial 16S ribosomal RNA". It matches the Rfam family "Bacterial small subunit ribosomal RNA", at positions 30 to 507 of the family's 1533-position model. The record is from RNAcentral.
AUUGAACGCUGGCGGCAUGCUUUACACAUGCAAGUCGAACGGUAACAGGCCGCAAGGUGCUGACGAGUGGCGAACGGGUGAGUAAUGCAUCGGAACGUGCCCAGUCGUGGGGGAUAACUACUCGAAAGAGUAGCUAAUACCGCAUACGAUCUAUGGAUGAAAGCGGGGGACCGUAAGGCCUCGCGCGAUUGGAGCGGCCGAUGUCAGAUUAGGUAGUUGGUGGGGUAAAGGCUCACCAAGCCAACGAUCUGUAGCUGGUCUGAGAGGACGACCAGCCACACUGGGACUGAGACACGGCCAAGACUCCUACGGGAGGCAGCAGUGGGGAAUUUUGGACAAUGGGCGCAAGCCUGAUCCAGCAAUGCCGCGUGCAGGAAGAAGGCCUUCGGGUUGUAAACUGCUUUUGUACGGAACGAAACGGCUCUGGUUAAUACCCGGGGCUAAUGACGGUACCGGAAGAAUAAGCACCGGCUAACUACGUG